RNAcentral lists this ribosomal RNA (1048 nucleotides) under Escherichia coli. RNAcentral's name for it is "partial 23S ribosomal RNA". It matches the Rfam family "Bacterial large subunit ribosomal RNA", at positions 699 to 1746 of the family's 2925-position model. The record is from RNAcentral. Lineage: Bacteria; Pseudomonadati; Pseudomonadota; Gammaproteobacteria; Enterobacterales; Enterobacteriaceae.
GUUGCAGGGUAUAGACCCGAAACCCGGUGAUCUAGCCAUGGGCAGGUUGAAGGUUGGGUAACACUAACUGGAGGACCGAACCGACUAAUGUUGAAAAAUUAGCGGAUGACUUGUGGCUGGGGGUGAAAGGCCAAUCAAACCGGGAGAUAGCUGGUUCUCCCCGAAAGCUAUUUAGGUAGCGCCUCGUGAAUUCAUCUCCGGGGGUAGAGCACUGUUUCGGCAAGGGGGUCAUCCCGACUUACCAACCCGAUGCAAACUGCGAAUACCGGAGAAUGUUAUCACGGGAGACACACGGCGGGUGCUAACGUCCGUCGUGAAGAGGGAAACAACCCAGACCGCCAGCUAAGGUCCCAAAGUCAUGGUUAAGUGGGAAACGAUGUGGGAAGGCCCAGACAGCCAGGAUGUUGGCUUAGAAGCAGCCAUCAUUUAAAGAAAGCGUAAUAGCUCACUGGUCGAGUCGGCCUGCGCGGAAGAUGUAACGGGGCUAAACCAUGCACCGAAGCUGCGGCAGCGACGCUUAUGCGUUGUUGGGUAGGGGAGCGUUCUGUAAGCCUGCGAAGGUGUGCUGUGAGGCAUGCUGGAGGUAUCAGAAGUGCGAAUGCUGACAUAAGUAACGAUAAAGCGGGUGAAAAGCCCGCUCGCCGGAAGACCAAGGGUUCCUGUCCAACGUUAAUCGGGGCAGGGUGAGUCGACCCCUAAGGCGAGGCCGAAAGGCGUAGUCGAUGGGAAACAGGUUAAUAUUCCUGUACUUGGUGUUACUGCGAAGGGGGGACGGAGAAGGCUAUGUUGGCCGGGCGACGGUUGUCCCGGUUUAAGCGUGUAGGCUGGUUUUCCAGGCAAAUCCGGAAAAUCAAGGCUGAGGCGUGAUGACGAGGCACUACGGUGCUGAAGCAACAAAUGCCCUGCUUCCAGGAAAAGCCUCUAAGCAUCAGGUAACAUCAAAUCGUACCCCAAACCGACACAGGUGGUCAGGUAGAGAAUACCAAGGCGCUUGAGAGAACUCGGGUGAAGGAACUAGGCAAAAUGGUGCCGUAACUUCGGGAGAAGG